AAAUAAUUAACAUUAGGAAAUAUUUCAUUUUUCAGGAGAGCUUGUGAUACUUGUAUUGGUAAUGUAAUUUUUAUAUUGUGUAUAAUAAUGCGUUGUACGUACAAUUUGCUGUGGCUGUUGAAUGGUUUACUUGUGAUAUCAGAUGCUCAGACAGUGAAUCUUGGAGUCUGUUCAAAUGAAGGCGAACCUCUACAAUGUUGUCGAAAUUACAAACUACGUGGUGAUUCAUGUGAAGAAUGCUCGCCAGGCACGUUUGGCAUAGAUUGUAAUGAGGACUGUCCUGACGUGUUCUAUGGACGUUUUUGUAUAGAAGUCUGUAAUUGUUCUUCGUGUGACAAGGUCUCGGGGUGUCAGCCGAUUUCAACUCAGACUGGUAAGAAAAUAUCUGCAUAAGUUUCAGCGGAUAGUGUAUAGACAUUAACAAUAAACAAUUAUGAGAUAUAUUUCAACAAAGAUACUCACUUAAAUAAAUAAAUGCUUAUUCGGUAUAUAUGCACAUACAAAUAUACAUACAUAAAUACUAAGGAUAUUCCAUGAAAGCUUAAAAGCUUUUUUCCAAUGGGGUCCUUUGAUGCACGGAUGUUCGCACCAGGGGCAUUAUGUAGGUGGGAACCGGAGUACCCAUAGGAAACCUACGUAUCCAUACCCUAUGGACAGGACUUGCACCUCACCCCGCCCUAGAUUAAUUUUUUUUUAUGAUCACAAAGUUCAUCUAUUCAGCAUUUGAAAACAUGACGGCCAGAUGCUAGAUGGAAAAAAACUUCAAAGGAAGAAAGAGAAAAAGUUGUAUUCUUGUGUUGUUGUCUCAUAACUUUAAUAUCAAAAAAUUCCUAACAUGUUUCCCUACUAUACUUGUGUCCAAACAUACCUUCAAAUAUUUAUUAAAGCCUCAAAAACUCGAUCACAGCUUUUGAUGAUUUCGUUCGUAGACGUAGCCAUGUUAGGUAGCCAGUCAAUUUGAAUCCCGGUUCAUUUCCAUACUGGCAGAAUUGCGUCUAGAUGUGUACUAAUACCCCACAAAUAUCUUAGCUAAAUAGUUUAGAUAAUAUACCACCCAGUCCCAUUAAAUGAUAAUUAUUCAAAUAGCUAAACUCAAGGCAAUGCGGCUUUCAUUAGUCAUGAGCGGCCGCGCCGGCCGGUCUCUAUCUAAUGGGCUUAUGUAGCAUUUUCGUUAAUCAAGAGCUUAUUUUACCUUUACAAAAACUGGUACAAAAAUGUUUUAAUUUCUAUUAAUUAUUCGUGUUGAAUAGGUCCCUGGUGUUGAUAAUAAAUGAAGAGCGAAUACAUAACUUACAACCGAUUUUAUGAAUAGAUACCAAUAGCAAGAGUUCGAAUUGACCGGCUACCUAACAUGGCUACGUCAACAAACGAAAUCAUUUGAAGCUACGAGUUUUCGGACCGUGUGUGGCUUUAAUGAAAAUUUGAAGGUAUGUUUGGACACAAGUAUAUAGUACGAAAAUAUGUUAAGAUUUUUUUAUAUUGAGUUUAUGAGACAGCAACACAAGAAUACACCGAUUUCAGGCCUCAAUCGUCCGAAGCUUUUUGUGACCCGUAAAUCGAAGGUUUUUAUAAGGGGUGGAUCUUUUCAGAGAGCUAUGUACAUUUCUCCAGCUACACUGACUCCGCUCGAGAAAGUGGGCGGGGUGUAAUCGGCCAAUGAAAACUCUUGUUGUAUUACAUCAAACAUGUCAUUCAAAUUGUUCAAUCGUCUCAUUCAAUUGUGUCGUCACACAACGCAAUACUAUAUCGGGUAAAGCGUUCUCAUUCAAAGGUGAAUUGCGAUAAAAUCACUGCACAUGACAAUCAAUAAAAUAGGUUUCUGUGUGGGAUUUGUUUAUUUCAUUGAAAUAACAAUAGGCCCAUGGGCCACAUCGCUCACCUAGAUACCAUUGCACUGCUCUUGUUCAGCUAUUGUGAUUUUUAAAGUGUUUUUUCCAAUGUUCACUCCCAUGAAAAAUUGUUAACACAAUCUAACCUCAAAGGAAAACCGAACUUGAAUUCAUACAACAUGGAUAUGCCUCAAUACCCAUAUUACUAACAUUACGUUGCUGUUCUGAAAAAGUUUUUCAUUCAUGUAUACAAUAUGUCAAAUUUUAUACAUCCUAACCCUAGAGUUAACAACACGAAUAAAAAACUCCACAAAACUUUGGAACGUUUGCAUUUUGAUAUGAUUUAGUGCGGUCCUCUUACUGUUGAAAUUGACAAGAAUUUUCCUGAUAAAUUUCCUGUAUAUUCCUAUAUAAGAAUCUUAUCUUCUACUGUGGCCCAGCCUCUGGGCUCCUGAACUGAAAACAAAUUCCAUUUCAACUACCUGAAGAAGUUUGCAUAGUAAUAUUGUAAAUCAUGCCCCUGCUGUUGUUGAUAUGAAGAACUUUAAAGAUGAUAUCCCUAUAUACUUUUAUUUGAAGUUUUGAGCCCAUAUUGUGGCUCCAACUUACCCACAGGACCAUAAUGUGAGGAAACUUGAAUCUGCACUAACUGGGGAUGCUUGUGUAUCUUUAUGAUUCAUCAUGGUCCUAUUGUUCUUAGAGCAAAGAUUUAAAGAUUAAAAUUUAAAGAUGCCUUUUUAUCUGCAUGUGAUCCCUAUUGUGGACCCACCUCGCCCCCGUGGUCAUGGCUUGAUUAUUGACCCACCUCGCCCCCGUGGUCAUGGCUUGGACAAAUUAUACACUAUGUCAGGAAGCCUUGUAUUCUCUGUACCCAAGGGUGAUUUGUACCAACGUUGAAAUGGCGCAGUGGUUCUGGCGAAGAGUUUACGGACAGACGCCUGGCAACAUGUGAUCGGAAAAGCUCAUCUGAAAGCUGUUUUAGCUGAAGUGGGGUAAAACACUAGCUCUUAAGUUGAAUAGUUUGUUAAAACUAUACGCGAAAUACCCAAAGUAUUGAACAUUUAAAAGUAAUGGGAAAAGGGCAAGGAUUUGGGAGGCAGUCCUUUAUGGGUUUUAGAGUGAUUCGACCAUUUCUUUAAGGCAGGACAAAAUGUAAAGUUUCUUGUUUACUUUGUUUACUUCCUUUGCAUUGAGUUGUUUUAAUUUUCCAAGUUUAAAAAAAUAUAUUAAUCAAUAUUUUCAACUUUAUAGCUUACGUAACUUUAAAUAAAACACCUCCUUCCAAUUCUAUUUUUGUUAAAAGUUAAUCGCUAACCUUGCAAGCAUGUCACAUUUGACAAAAUUGUUAUCUGCAUCAAUUCAUACACUAUGAAUGAACCAAAUCUGUCUCAAUUAACCGGAAAUAUCAUUUAAGCACAUAUGCAAAUAAAAUUUCCUGUUUGUGAAGGUAGAUCAACACUAAUAAAAUGUUUGAAAACAUUUUAUUUUUAAAAAGUGCCUAUGAUUAUUGUCUUGGUACAUUUUCACAAGUCAAGGGUUAUUGAUUUAUGUACUUAUAGUGAGAGGUAACGAAUGGAUAACCCUUGACUUGUGAAGAUGGUCUUGGUAAUGUAAUCUUUAUGUUAUGUACAAUAAUGUGUUGUACAUAUAAUUUGGUGUUGCUGUUGAAUGGCUCAGUUGUGACGUCAGAUAAUCAGACAGAGAAUCCUGAAGUCUGCACAAAGUAUGUAAACAUUUUAUUGUAUGAUACUCCCCUUGAAUUUUUUAUAUUUUCCAAUGUUAAGAUCUCCAAUCAUUGUUAUAUGAAAACUUUCUCCCAAGCAGUAAAAGUUAACCUCUACAAUGUUGUAAAAGUUACAACGGACGUGGUGAUUCAUAAUGCUCGUCAGGCACCUUUGGCAUAGAUUGUAAUGAGGACUGUCUUGACGGGUUCUAUGGAGGUUUAUAAUUGUUCUUUGUGUGACAAGGUCUCUGGAUGUCAGGUGAUUGGUAAAAAAAAUGUUUGUGCAUAAGUUUAAGUUUUAUUCCUCGAAUGGCUCAAGUUAUUUACUAUAUAAAUGUGUUUAUAUUAGCAAUAAAUAGUUACGAGAGAUAUUUCAAAAAGAUACUUAAAUAAAUAAAUGUUUAUUCGGUAUAUGCAUACAUACACACAUUUCAACAAGCUCUGUACCCAAGGAUGAUUUCUACCUAGUUUGAAAUUGGUGCAGUGCUUCUGCAGAAGAUAGAAAUGUGAAAAGUUUAUGUACAGACGGACGGGCGCCUGACAACCUGUGAUCGGAAAAGCUCACCUGAUCUGAAAGCUCAAAUCAUAUGAGGUAAAACACUACUCUUAAGUUGAAUAUUUUGUGAAAAAUGUACGCGAAAUACCAAAGGCAUUGAACAUUUAAAAGUACAGGAAAAGGGGCGGGGGUGGGGUGUGAAAGUCCUUUAUCCACAAACACCUGUGUUCUCAAACUAAGGGGUCUCCAUGGCGUAGUGGUUAGAGCAUCACGCUCAAAAUCACAUGGCCUUUCACUUCUGCUCGGUGCGGGUUCGAAGUUUCCCAGUUCACCUGCGGAAGCUCGGUAGUCUUGUAUCUGGAUUCUCUUCUUCCAAGAAAAACUGGGCGCAUCCAUAUAACUGAAAAAUUGUUGAGUGUGGCGGAAAACAUCAAUCAGUCAAUCAAUCAAUCUCAAACCAAAAUUAAGGGUUGUACAUAAUAUGAUUCGAGCACUUCUCUAAGGCAGGACAAACUAUAAAAUUUAUUUGUUUAAUUUGUUUUCUUCCGUUGCUUUGAGUUCUUUGAAUUCCACAAGUUUAAAAAACAUGAAUUAGUUAAUACAUGUACAUGAAAGGUGAAAAUAACGAACAUUGAUCAAUUUCAUAACUCCUAUAAGCAAUACAAAAUAGAGAGUUGGGCAAACAAGGACCCCUGGUUAUACCACAGGUGGGAUGAGGUUCCUAGGAGGAGUAAACAUCCCCUGUUGACCGGUCACACCCGCCGUGAACCUAUAUCUUGAUGAGGUAAACGGAGUUAUCGUAGUCAAAAUCAGUGUGCCAAGAACAACCUAACAGUCGGUAUGAAACAUAUAUCUUCAACUUCAUAGCUUAUUAUCACAGAUUGACUGAGUUCUUGUCAAUAUAUAUAUAAAUGACAAACUUCACAACACUUUACAAUAUACAGUUUUUCUCCACUUUUACAUAUUACAUUUUGUUUACUACAGUUCAUUAAAUUAAUGAAAUUAAUGUUGGUUUCUGCUUCCACAUCAUAUGUUCUUGUUCCCAAACUUUGGCGUGCAGAGGUGUAACUAGCGAAUGGCAAUGUUUCCUAUAUUUGAUCUACUUGUACACUGGACAUCAGAAGUGAAGUGAAGACAAUCUGGUUUAUUGAGAAAUUAGUAAGUGAAGUUUUCAAUAUACAAAACACUGGUUGCCAACUAUAUCUCUGUGCACGCUUUGCCUGCUACGCCCAAACCAACUCGCAACUGGUAUUUCAAGUGAAUAUAUACACAGACAGGGAAUAAAUGUGACGCUUCACUCUCGGAUACUUCAUGAACAGCAUCAGCUCGAACAAGACAAAUACUAACCCCUGGAUAUACCAGUGGUGGGAUUAGGUGCCUAGGAGGAGUACGCAUCCCCUGUCGACCGGUCACGCCCGCCGUAAAUCUAUCUUUAUCAAGUAUAAAUGUUAUGAAUUAUUACACACUUUCGUAUGAUGAUUAUGGUGCAUAUUUCGUAGUAAUUAAAAAUGAAAUUUAUACAAAACAAAUAUAUAUUCCUCAAUAUUUUUAAUUGUCACUUCAAAUAGGAAGGAAGUUGUACCGGAUAUUUCAUUUCAGCACAUAUCCAAAUCAACUUUCCUGUUUGGGAAGGUAAAUCAGUACUAUUAGAAUGUUAGGGAACGUUUCCAUAUUCAGAAUAAGCUAUGAUACUGGUUUUGGUAAUGUAAUGUUAUGAUGUGCAUAAUAAACCGCUUUUAUUUGGUGGUGCUGUUGAAUAGUUUAUUUGUGAUAUCACUUGUUCAGAUAUAUAAUCCUGGGGUCUGCUCAAAGUAUGUAAACAUUUUAUUGUAUGAUUGAUGAUUUUUAUACAUUCUGAUUUUUAAAUUCUCCAUUCAUUGCUUUAUAAAAAUGUUCCUCCAAACAUUGAAGACGAUCCUCUACAAUGUUGUCGAAAUUACAAAAGACGUGGUGAUUCAUGUGAAGGUAAUUAUCAAAAUAAUAUCUGAG
Long non-coding RNA from Ostrea edulis (European flat oyster), 6037 nucleotides. RefSeq lists it as uncharacterized. The transcript has 5 exons. NCBI's taxonomy places the organism in Eukaryota, Metazoa, Mollusca, Bivalvia, Ostreida, Ostreidae. The record is from RefSeq and is a predicted model, not a curated record.